AAUCAACGCUGGCGGCGUGCCUAACACAUGCAAGUCGAACGCGAGAGGGGCUUCGGCCCCGAUUGAGUGGCGAACGGGUGAGUAACACGUGGGUGACCUACCUUCGAGUGGGGGAUAACGUCCCGAAAGGGACGCUAAUACCGCAUAACAUUCCGCUUUUGAACAAGUGGAAAUCAAAGCCGGGGAUCGUAAGACCUGGCGCUUGAAGAGGGGCCCGCGUCCGAUUAGCUAGUUGGUGAGGUAACGGCUCACCAAGGCGACGAUCGGUAGCCGGCCUGAGAGGGUGAUCGGCCACACUGGGACUGAGAUACGGCCCAGACUCCUACGGGAGGCAGCAGUGAGGAAUAUUGGUCAAUGGACGAAAGUCUGAACCAGCAACGCCGCGUGAGGGAUGAAGCACCAAGGUGUGUAAACCUCUGUUAGAGGGGACGAACGAUCCCGAUCUUCGGGAUGUGACGGUACCCUCAGAGAAAGCCCCGGCUAACUCCGUGCCAGCAGCCGCUGUAAU
RNAcentral lists this ribosomal RNA (508 nucleotides) under uncultured bacterium. RNAcentral's name for it is "bacterial SSU rRNA". It matches the Rfam family "Bacterial small subunit ribosomal RNA", at positions 32 to 524 of the family's 1533-position model. The record is from RNAcentral.